GUGAAUCAUCAAAUCUUUGAACGCAAAUUGCACUCUUUGGUAUUCCGAAGAGUAUGCUUGCUUGAGGGUUGUUCUAAACAAUAUCGUUUUUUAUAUUAAAGAAAAAGGAUCUGAGUUUUCUAAAGUUUUUAAUGUGUGUGACUUUAAUUUUAUCUUAUGGAUAUUUUUGGUAUAAUUUGGGAAUUGUUUUUCCAAAGUCUGGGGGUAGGUG
This 211-nucleotide unclassified non-coding RNA is filed under the name Acaulospora cavernata. RNAcentral's name for it is "partial contains 5.8S ribosomal RNA and internal transcribed spacer 2". The stretch from base 1 to 71 matches the Rfam family "5.8S ribosomal RNA", at positions 84 to 154 of the family's 154-position model. The record is from RNAcentral. Lineage: Eukaryota; Fungi; Glomeromycota; Glomeromycetes; Diversisporales; Acaulosporaceae.